This is a long non-coding RNA of Lynx canadensis (Canada lynx), 506 nucleotides long. RefSeq lists it as uncharacterized. NCBI's taxonomy places the organism in Eukaryota, Metazoa, Chordata, Mammalia, Carnivora, Felidae. The transcript is spliced from 3 exons. The record is from RefSeq and is a predicted model, not a curated record.
UCCUCAUUCCCACCUUCAACUUGGCAGUCCCGCUUCCGGACCACCCUCCAUCCCCCACUCAGGGCCUCCUGGGGUCCAGACCUCUGUCAGCUGUUUCUGAGCCUUUCUCCGAGGGCAGGGACCCAUCUGUUGUCACAGCAUCAAACUGGGACGUGGGAAAUUCCUUCUGCCAGGCCCCCUCUUCCUUCGAGACAAUGAAUGAGGAAUACGCCAGCUGCCUCAGUGGAUCAAGGACCAAGGAAAUGGGACUUUGAUCUGUUGUGUGCCUGGAGCGCGGAGAACAGCACGAGACACGCUGAAGGAGCAGGGGCCCAUGUUGCAGCAGGAUGCAGGGAAGCGGCAUGAUCAGACGUAUUUUGAAAACAUGAUUUGGUUGACUAAAAUACUUGGAACUGAACAAUAAUGGAAGACAGAAGGUUGUGUCCUAAGACCAGAGCAAUCCCUGCAGAGGGUACCUACUGCUGAGAAUGAGCAUGUAGUCAAUAAAAAUAAAGUGUGUGAGAACA